GACGUAGGGGGCCAGCGUUGCUCGGAAUUACUGGGCGUAAAGGGUCCGUAGGCGGUGCGGUAAGUCGGGAGUGAAAUCUCUGGGCUUAACUCAGAGGCUGCUUCCGAAACUACCGUGCUAGAGUGCGAGAGAGGCAAGUGGAAUUGCGGGUGUAGCGGUGAAAUGCGUAGAUAUCCGCAGGAACAUCCGAGGCGAAAGCGGCUUGCUGGAUCGCAACUGACGCUGAGGGAUGAAAGCUAGGGGAGCAAACAGG
This 253-nucleotide ribosomal RNA is filed under the name uncultured bacterium. RNAcentral's name for it is "partial 16S ribosomal RNA". It matches the Rfam family "Bacterial small subunit ribosomal RNA", at positions 524 to 776 of the family's 1533-position model. The record is from RNAcentral.